This is a transfer RNA of 72 nucleotides. It matches the Rfam family "tRNA". From Rfam's summary of the family: Transfer RNA (tRNA) molecules are approximately 80 nucleotides in length. Their secondary structure includes four short double-helical elements and three loops (D, anti-codon, and T loops). The record is from Rfam.
GCGCCGCUAGUGUAAUGGAUCGCACGUAAGAUUCCGGUUCUUAAAAUGGCGGUUCGACUCCGCCGUGGCGCA